GGGGAUGUAGCUCAGUUGGCUAGAGCGCUACGCUGGCAGCGUAGAGGUCGUGGGUUCGAGUCCCAUCUUCUCCA
Molecule: transfer RNA, 74 nt
Filed under: Winogradskyella sp.
Lineage: Bacteria; Pseudomonadati; Bacteroidota; Flavobacteriia; Flavobacteriales; Flavobacteriaceae
Description: tRNA-Ala
Rfam family: tRNA
About the family: Transfer RNA (tRNA) molecules are approximately 80 nucleotides in length. Their secondary structure includes four short double-helical elements and three loops (D, anti-codon, and T loops).
Source: RNAcentral